UCCGGGAGGGGGUUUUGGGGUGAAGGAACCCCCUUUUUUUUGUCCUCAAACACUCACCCGUAGGUUUGCCGGCGUCAGAGCCCGUUUCCUCUCCCGUUUCCCAAGGUUUUUCAUCCGGCGGUUUCUAAACAGUUGACAAGAAACGCCGCUGAACCCGGCCCGAGGUUCGGGUGGUUUUAAAUCCUUUAAGGAACCGUCAAACUUCUCUGCGACCGCGGAUCGGGAAGCGUUAGCUUGGUCGUCGUUGGGAUUCGCCCGGAUCGGCUGUGCCGAACGCACCGGCGCCGUCCGCCCGCCCGCCGUUUCUCCCGUUACCUUCGGCGUCCGUCAGCGUUUCGAAGUGCUGCUUGAGAACCGGACCCGAAUGACCGAACAUUUUCGCCACGCACUCCCCGGAGUGGAAGUCGACGAGGGCGAUGCUUUUGUCGGAGCAGCUCGUCGCCAGGAAGGUGCCCGAGGGAUCCAACCGCACCUGGGGGAGAGGAGCGGUCCCUAGAGCUCCCGCUAGUUUGCUCCAACCCGACCUUGAACUCUUCCGGGGACGGAACAUCCGUUUCUGGGCACCGCCGCCGACCGCGCCGAGGGCCGCCGCGUGGUGGAAGAAUCACCCCCUUACCUUCAGCAAGGAACCGUCGUCGCCUUGCGAGCCCUUGUAGCAGCACUUGAGCUUCCCGCUGGUCGUGCUGUACACCCUGCGGGAAGAACGGGAGGCGAUCGAGCCUUUUUCAAAUACAUCGACAGCAAAAGGAAGAGUAGGGAAAAUGUGGACCCGGUGCUGAAUGAGGUGGGUGCCUCGGUGACGGAGGAUAGAGAGGAGGCGGAGUUACGGAAUGCCGCCUUUGCUUCAGUCUUUACUGCUGAGGUCGGCCCUCGGGAAUUCCCGGACCCUGGAGGUAGGAGAGGAAGUCUCGCCAAAGGAAGACCUUCCCUUGGUCGAGGAGGAUCGGGUCAGAGAACAUCUAGGCGAUCUCGACAUCCAUAAAUCUAUGGGCCCUGAUGGGAUGCACCCACGAGCGCUCGGGGAGCUGGCGGAUGUUCUUGCCAGGCCGCGCUCGUUCAUCUUUGGAAGGUCUUGGAGAACAGGAGAGGUGUCUGAGGACCGGAGGAAAGCCGAUGUCGCUCCGGUCUUCGAAAAGGGCAAGGAAGGAGGACCCAGGGAACUACAGCCAACCUCACCUCCA
Molecule: long non-coding RNA, 1181 nt
Organism: Grus americana (Whooping crane)
Lineage: Eukaryota; Metazoa; Chordata; Aves; Gruiformes; Gruidae
Exons: 4
Source: RefSeq, a predicted model, not a curated record